This 403-nucleotide ribosomal RNA is filed under the name Actinomycetes bacterium. RNAcentral describes it as "Actinobacteria bacterium partial 16S ribosomal RNA". It matches the Rfam family "Bacterial small subunit ribosomal RNA", at positions 355 to 776 of the family's 1533-position model. Lineage: Bacteria; Bacillati; Actinomycetota; Actinomycetes. The record is from RNAcentral.
UGGGGAAUAUUUCACAAUGGGGGAAACCCUGAUGCAGCGACGCCGCGUGAACGAAGAAGGUAUUCGUAUCGUAAAGUUCUGUCCUAUGGGAAGAUAAUGACAGUACCAUAGAAGAAAGCUCCGGCUAAAUACGUGCCAGCAGCCGCGGUAAUACGUAUGGAGCGAGCGUUGUCCGGAAUUAUUGGGCGUAAAGGGUACGCAGGCGGUUUAAUAAGUCGAAUGUUAAAGAUCGGGGCUCAACCCCGUAAAGCAUUGGAAACUGAUAAACUUGAGUAGUGGAGAGGAAAGUGGAAUUCCUUGUGUAGUGGUGAAAUACGUAGAUAUUAGGAGGAAUACCAGUAGCGAAGGCGACUUUCUGGACACAAACUGACGCUGAGGUACGAAAGCGUGGGGAGCAAACAGG